Molecule: long non-coding RNA, 614 nt
Organism: Triticum dicoccoides
Lineage: Eukaryota; Viridiplantae; Streptophyta; Magnoliopsida; Poales; Poaceae
Exons: 4
Source: RefSeq, a predicted model, not a curated record
UUGAAAUAUAGUUGCAACUUCACGGAAUGGACGGCCCAAAUUAUGUUAGUGUCUAUAUGUUUACUUGGUGGUGGUCUAGCGUGAGUGACACCUGCAUCUGUAACUUACCCAUUGGAUGUUCUUUGAAAUCACCUGACAACACAGAAAACCACUAGGUAUUACAAGGGCAUCUUUCACACGUUGUCUACAAUUUGUAUAGAAGAGAAUGGUAGAGGAUUGUAUAAAGGCCUUUGGUCCACCUUAUUGGGAGUUGGACCUGAUAUAUCAAUCAACGUUUAUGUAUAUGAAUCCCUGAGGUCUCAUUGGAAAAUGGAAAGUUGAAUGUCAAACUGUGCGACCAAUGAUUUGAUAUGGUUAAUUCCAGUUGGGUGUGUUAACCUACAGUAAUCAAUCAAGUCAACAAAUAUAACAAUGAUACUUUGUCUUCUGAUUUUUGGUGAUGAUUUUUUUUGUGACGGAACUAACAGGAGUUGAAGCAUGUGUUCUUAUUUUUUUAUAUGACUAGAUGCAUAUGAACUGAAGCUCCAUAAUUUUCUUUUCAAGUCGACAUUGGUGGCAACCAAUACAAUUAGCGUUAUUUACAACCAAUGAAGUCUUAUAAUUUUCUUUCUUAG